Chiloscyllium plagiosum (whitespotted bambooshark) is the source of this 2817-nucleotide non-coding RNA. The record is from RefSeq and is a predicted model, not a curated record. NCBI's taxonomy places the organism in Eukaryota, Metazoa, Chordata, Chondrichthyes, Orectolobiformes, Hemiscylliidae.
GGGGCCAUUUGGCCCAUCUUGUCCAUGCCAACCCAAAGACACCCAGGUGCCCUUUGUAAUCCCAUCUUCAUGUACAUGGCCCAUAGCCCUGUAGCUUACAGCACUUAAGGGAGGAACAGGAGCUGUAGACAGCUAUGUGAGACAUCAUGGCUCUCAUUGGCCAGAGGCUGCAGCUGUUCAGCAAUCUCAUGAGUCCUUAGUUGUUCCUCUAUGGGCAGGUUGGUGGUUGCCAUGGUAGACCGGGCUCCGGCAUCCACAGCAGCUGGGCAGAUACAUACAGACCUGCAAAACAUCGUCCCAGACAUUGGUCCUCAGGAAGCAAAAGGCAUGGAGACACAGGAUGGGGCACCCCUGGCACACAACCCCAGGCCAGAAGAUCCCCAGCCAGAGGCACCCGAGAAGCUUUCCCUCCACCUCCCUGCCUAUCUCUGACCCUCAACUCAAGGCCUAGGGAGGUCUGACUUGCUGCUAGUAAGAAGACCUCAGCAUGUUUAUCCCAUCCAGAACAAACAUCCCUGGGGAUUCCUAAUCAAAUCUCCAGGGGUUCCACUGUGAAGCAGGAUCCCUCCAUCCUAAUUGUGGACCUAGGGACAACACUGAGUCAGAGUCAGAGGGAAAGAAGCUGCUGCAGUAAGUGGAAGUAGGAGGAUCUAGGGUUCUCCUGGCAUCAUCGCUCCUCUUGGUCAAACGCCCCUAAGAGAUUGAAACAUGGCUGUCUUCUCGAUGCACAUGCAGUGUGUCUACUGUGUAAGGUGCUGGCACUUGGUGCAGCUAUGAGUGUGAUGUUACGUACAUCACCUUGCCUGAGGACAGCUGACAUGUCAGGCAAGCUACCUGGUUAGCUGGUUGUGCUAAGAGUCCUGGCAAGGCAAGAUAGUGAUGCUGUGGGCAUGCUAAGUCAACAAAUGCAAGAAGAGCAAGUGAGCAGCUCAGGGAUUCAGUCUGUGAGCUUGUGUGUAAGAAACUGCUGGCUCCUGCUGCUCCUUGCAAUGCAGGCCUAUCUUUCCUAUGAGUGGAUCAGAUGGCUAUACCAUGAGGAUCCUGAAGGGAUGGAACUUAUUGAAUGCCAAUGUCUGUGGAGAAGAUUGUGUAGGGCUGGUGCCUGCGGAUCAUGCCCUGAAAGGCUGUUGUGUAAUGAUCAAUGUGGAGUUCCUCACAGUCUGCAGUGAGCUGACGUCACCAGGUUCCCACCCUGACGUCCACCUCAUCAACUCUCAGCACCUCGUCUACAAGGAGUGAGUGAUGGGAUUGGACACCACAUACUAGUGAGGAAUGAUGUGCAGUAAAUAAGGUCAUUAACAAUAAUCUUUCUUAAUAGUCAGCUUGCCGCUUCCUGGUGAGGAAGGACAUCCGGAACUCAGUUACAGGAUGCAGCACAUUGCUCUUUGCGUGUGUUAGGUCUUGCUAGACUUCUCAUGUGAUUCUGCCACGUCUCUCGCUGUAGCCCACAUCGUUCAGGUUUCACCCUCACUUUCAAUUCCAGAUUUAUUUCUACUUCACGAGUUACCUGGUGGUUUUUGGGCCCACAUCCCCAACACAUAGCAUGGUUCUCUGCACUGACAUUUUCACUGCUACUAAUCUCCAGGACCCCGCUGUGAGUUAACUUAUGAGAAACAUUAUCCUGGCAAUAUCAUGUUGGAUGAUAUUUGAAAUACUUUUGUUUACUAAUUGUGAAACAACAGAGCAUGGGAAAAUAAGCUGAUGACUGACAAGGAGGAGUCAUCCAAUCAUGUUCAUUUCUGAUUGGCAUAGCAAGGUGAUACAUCAUGAGAAGGGGAACAUUGAGUAGCCAAUGGCAGAUGUGCAGGUGGGUUAGUUGGAACAAUUACAAUUUGUGAUGAAAGCUCCAGAGAUAUCCCCAACCAGAGCUGGCAACUCCAGGAGACUGAGAACAAAUUUGAUCUUGGAAUCAAUAACCACAAAUUGAUAUUUCGCCAGUGGAAAGUGCACUACGUUAUUUCUUUAUCCUGAGGAGAGAUGUCAAAUUAACUCAACGUAUGGUGAGAUGUAACAGUAAUAGUACUCAUUUCCUUAAUUAGAAAGUAAAACCACUCCUCGAAACAACGUCUUCCCAACAUUGAACCCUACGACAAAAACCUCCUCCCACUUUCUGCCAGAACAAGAUGUCCCCCUGAUCAGGAGCUCAAUAACCAGGGGGUAGAGAUUUAAGGAAAAGAGCAAGAGGUUCAGAGGGGAUGUGAGGAAACUGUUUUUUCCACCCAGAGGGUGAUGGUAAUCUGGGACUUACUGCCUGUAAUAUUGUGAGACAGAAAUGCUCAUCACAUUUAAAUGGUAUUGAGACGUGCUCUUGUGACGCCAAGUCAUAAGAUGCUAUGGGCCAAGUACUGGAACAUGGAAUUAGAAUAAUUAGGUGGUUGUUUUUAACUGGGGCAAACUCAACGGGCUGUAUAUAUCUAUGACUGUGUGUUUUUACAUUCAGCCUUCAUGAUCAAAACAAUCAAAACACCUUUUGCUUCACAUUUACAUUAUGGCCUGCCAGAUUGUUAAGCAACCUGACUUCACUCUAAUCUCUCCAAGUGUUGAGAUACAAAGACCUUACUUGGAAGCCUGCUGUUAUAGAGCUGGAGUGUGUACCAUCUGCAGCAGUUCUGGAUCUUCUUAAAAGUGAAUUUGUAUUUGAGAUGGCAGCGUGGCAACUAACUGUCCACAGAACUGCAUCAAUAAGAGAUCAUUGAAAUGUCCUUAUCGUUUAGGGUCUGAGCUGGAGAUUAGAUUUUAGGGCUCAGGAGGGAGAUGAAAAUAAAGCUUGCUGAUAUAUUUACUUUGAUAUUCACCUACUUGUGUUAUCAACCUUUU